This 1146-nucleotide ribosomal RNA is filed under the name Triticum aestivum (bread wheat). RNAcentral describes it as "partial small subunit ribosomal RNA". The record is from RNAcentral. Lineage: Eukaryota; Viridiplantae; Streptophyta; Magnoliopsida; Poales; Poaceae.
AUGACGGCGAAUCAGCCGGCGGGCGAGGCCCUCGCGACCCACAUCUCCGGCAUGUCCCGCCCGGAGAUGUACGACCUCAUGUCCCAGAUGAAGGCCAUGCUCGACCACGACCAGGAGAGGGUGCGCCGAAUGCUCGUCGAGAACCCCGACGUCACCCGCGCGCUCUUCCGGGCCCAAGUGGUUCUCGGAAUGGUCAAAACACCUAAAGCUGCACAAUCUUCCGACACGCACCAGCCAACAGUUGCUCAGACAACUCCUCCUGCAUCAGUUAAAGCUACAGUACAAGAUCAUGUUAACUUGCCCCAGCCUCCCUUGCCUACCAAUCAACAGAAUUUGCAACCUUCUGGCCAAUUUCCUUCGGGCACUUCUAAUGUGACACCAUCUUUGGACCUUCCACCUAUGCCAGCGAAUCCACCACAAUCAGCACAAUCAAAAGGAUACCCUAUCCAUCAGAUGCAUUCUGCAUCAGCACCGCAGUCAUCUCAGUAUCCAAAUGUUACCAUGCCUCCUCAUGCUCCUCCACAGUAUUCAAAUGUUCCAUCUCAUAUGCCAACAGUGAACAGUCAACCACAGCAACCAUUGCAAAAUCCUGGAAUGUUUAACCAGCAAUUACAGCCACCCCUGCCCCAGUUGCCUAGGCCACCUUCCAUGCAGGCAUAUACACAUCAGAUGCAUCAGCAAAUACCCAGUACAUAUGGUCAGCACAUGUUGCAACAACCAAUGUUUCAUCCAGGUGGGAAUCCACAAAAUUCUUUCUUUACAGGUCAACAACAGCAGCAAUUACCCAACCAGCCACCACCAUUGCCGAAUCAGCCACCACCACAGCUAUACCAGGCUAAUUCACAUGUGAGCUCGCACUACAAUUCCCAAAGUAUGCAAGUCGAUAGAUCAGCUCCAUGGGGGCGUGGCAACCAAGAAGCAUCGUCGGCUGGCUCCCAUUUCCCUGGCCAAUUUCAAGGUCUACCUGGACAGAUGACCCAAGGGAUUGGCGGAAUGCAGACAGGCCGCCCAGAAGCACCUUUGACAGCCGACAUGGAAAAGAUGCUAGUACAGCAAGUCAUGAGCAUGUCGCCGGAGCAGAUCAACGCGCUGCCCCCGGAGCAACGUCAGCAGGUGCUUCAGCUGCGAGACAUGCUGCGUCAAUGA